CAUCCCUUGACAUCCAGUGAAUUUUCUAGAGAUAGAUUAGUGCCUUCGGGAACACUGAGACAGGUGCUGCAUGGCUGUCGUCAGCUCGUGUUGUGAGAUGUUGGGUUAAGUCCCGCAACGAGCGCAACCCUUAUCCUUAGUUGCCAGCACGUAAAGGUGGGAACUCUGGGGAGACUGCCGGUGAUAAACCGGAGGAAGGUGGGGACGACGUCAAGUCAUCAUGGCCCUUACGGGAUGGGCUACACACGUGCUACAAUGGCGCGUACAAUGGGAAGCUAACUCGCGAGAGUGUGCGGAUCUCAAAAAGCGCGUCGUAGUCCGGAUUGGAGUCUGCAACUCGACUCCAUGGAGUCGGAAUCGCUAGUAAUCGUGGAUCAGAAUGCCACGGUGAAUACGUUCCC
RNAcentral lists this ribosomal RNA (401 nucleotides) under uncultured bacterium. RNAcentral describes it as "bacterial SSU rRNA". It matches the Rfam family "Bacterial small subunit ribosomal RNA", at positions 975 to 1375 of the family's 1533-position model. The record is from RNAcentral.